RNAcentral lists this ribosomal RNA (377 nucleotides) under uncultured eukaryote. Its description in RNAcentral is "partial 18S ribosomal RNA". It matches the Rfam family "Eukaryotic small subunit ribosomal RNA", at positions 592 to 976 of the family's 1831-position model. The record is from RNAcentral.
CAAUAGCGUAUAUUAAAGUUGUUGCAGUUAAAAAGCUCGUAGUUGGAUUUCGGGGCAGCCCGGCUGGUCCGCCGCAAGGCGAGUACUGGUCAGCCGCCCUUCCUCUCGAAAGCCCCGACUGCUCUUUAUUGCAGUGGUCGGGUAGUUCGGGACGUUUACUUUGAAAAAAUUAGAGUGUUCAAGGCAGGCCUACGCCUGAAUACAUUAGCAUGGAAUAAUGGAAGAGGACCUCGGUCCUAUUUUGUUGGUUUCCAGGACCGAAGUAAUGAUUAAGAGGGACAGUUGGGGGCAUUCGUAUUUAAUUGUCAGAGGUGAAAUUCUCGGAUUUAUGAAAGACGAACAACUGCGAAAGCAUUUGCCAAGGAUGUUUUCAUUAA